AUACAAAACAAUGGAAACUCCGAAGAAAUUCAUAUUUUUGAAUUAGAAAUAUGAAUUUCUUCGGAGUUUCCAUUGUUUUGUAU
Molecule: non-coding RNA, 83 nt
Organism: Paramuricea clavata
Lineage: Eukaryota; Metazoa; Cnidaria; Anthozoa; Malacalcyonacea; Plexauridae
Source: the annotation of a GenBank genome assembly